AAGACGAACCGUGCGAACGUUGUUCGGAAUCACUGGGCUUAAAGGGCGCGUAGGCGGCUUGCCAAGUCAGGGGUGAAAUCCAGCAGCUUAACUGUUGAAGUGCCUUUGAUACUGGCGAGCUCGAGGGAGGUAGGGGUAUGCGGAACUUCUGGUGGAGCGGUGAAAUGCGUUGAUAUCAGAAGGAACGCCGGUGGCGAAAGCGACGUACUGGACCUCUUCUGACGCUGAGGCGCGAAAGCUAGGGGAGCAAACGG
Molecule: ribosomal RNA, 254 nt
Filed under: uncultured prokaryote
Description: partial 16S ribosomal RNA
Rfam family: Bacterial small subunit ribosomal RNA
Source: RNAcentral